RNAcentral lists this microRNA precursor (207 nucleotides) under Oryza brachyantha (malo sina). RNAcentral describes it as "MIR812 microRNA precursor family". It matches the Rfam family "MIR812 microRNA precursor family". The record is from Rfam by way of RNAcentral. Lineage: Eukaryota; Viridiplantae; Streptophyta; Magnoliopsida; Poales; Poaceae.
AUUAAGUUCAUAUUUCAGUUUUUAGAUACAAUGUUUUCACUCUUCGUCUCAUUUGAAUUUUUCUGUGAUUAAUAUUUUUAUUGUUACUAGAUGGUAAAAUAUGAAUAGUACUUUACGCGUGACUAACUUUUUUAAGUUUUUAUGUAAUUUUUUUAAAUAAGACGAAUGGUCAAAUAUUGGACACGCAAAUCAGAAAAUAAAGUUAUU